ACUCAAAGGAAUUGACGGGGACUUGCACAAGCGGUGGAUUAUGCGGUUCAAUUCGUCGACAAACGAAAAACCUUACCAAGGCUAGAAAUCUAGCUGAAUGCAAGCAGAAACGUUUGCAGUCUCACAAGGACAGCUAGACAGGUGAUGCAUGGCCGUCGUCAGUUCGUGAUUUGAAUUGUUCCCUUAAGUGGGGUAACGAACGCAACCCUCGUUGGUUGUUACAAGUGUCAACCGAGACCACCCAGCACUUUGCGCACAAAUUUUGCGCACAGAGUGCUGGGAGGAAGCGAGGAUGACGCCAGGUCAGCAUGUCCCUCUGAUGCCUUGGGCCACACGCAUAAUACAAUCGCCGGUACAACGCGUUGCGACGGGGUAACCCUGAGCUAAUCGUAAUAAGCCGGCGCCAGUUCGGAUUGGGGGCUGCAACUCGACCCCAUGAAGUUGGAAUCGCUAGUAAUCGCGGGUCAGCUAUACCGCGGUGAAUACGUUCUCAAGUCUUGUACACACCGCCCGU
RNAcentral lists this ribosomal RNA (514 nucleotides) under uncultured bacterium. Its description in RNAcentral is "partial 16S ribosomal RNA". It matches the Rfam family "Bacterial small subunit ribosomal RNA", at positions 899 to 1397 of the family's 1533-position model. The record is from RNAcentral.